GGUUUCCUAGAUUGUACAGAUG
Molecule: microRNA, 22 nt
Filed under: human gammaherpesvirus 4 (Epstein-Barr virus)
Lineage: Duplodnaviria; Heunggongvirae; Peploviricota; Herviviricetes; Herpesvirales; Orthoherpesviridae
Description: Human gammaherpesvirus 4 (Epstein-Barr virus) miR-BART8-5p
Source: RNAcentral